GAAAACAAGUUCCGAAAAUUUUUGGGCAAGUUAUGAAUUUUCCAGCGAAGGACUCGCCGGAGAAGAUUACCGGAGGUGCGGCGGCGAUCAGAUCUGGCCAAAUGGUUGGGUUCUCCUUGCUUCCAGAAUAACAUAGGCUUUGAUAUCGUCUCAAUCGGAUUUCGGACGAGGGAGAAUAACACGUUUGAAGGUGCUGAUUUUUCGGUAUGGUCGCCGGAAUCUUCAAGCUGAAGAACAGCCCAUAACGAUGCCAAACUUUCCAGAUCCCAUAUUUGGACAUCUAGAAACAUGAAUAUCAAGUGUUUAUAGGGAUGUGAACAUGUUUUGUGAUAUAAUCAAAGAGGGACAAAUUUGGUGAUAUUUGAGCAUGAUGGUGGCUGCCAUGGGAGGAAAGCUC
Molecule: long non-coding RNA, 397 nt
Filed under: Lotus japonicus
Lineage: Eukaryota; Viridiplantae; Streptophyta; Magnoliopsida; Fabales; Fabaceae
Description: long non-coding RNA (LJAP_LNC000317)
Source: RNAcentral